Molecule: non-coding RNA, 2612 nt
Organism: Peromyscus maniculatus bairdii (prairie deer mouse)
Lineage: Eukaryota; Metazoa; Chordata; Mammalia; Rodentia; Cricetidae
Source: RefSeq, a predicted model, not a curated record
CCAGAGAGGCAUCUUCUGGCACUUUCCACGGAGGUUACUCUCCUGCGUGGGGGAGGGCGAGACGCACCCCCUCCUCCUCCUCCUUUAGCAAGUGCACCUCAGCCUGAGAUUUGGGGAUCGCCUCACCUGUAUUUACAAAACCCACCACCGCACUCCCUACACCCAGCACCGGGCUGCCUCGUCUUGCAGCAGCAAGCCGCGGCUGAGACGCGGGCGAGCCGGACGGACGGACGGACCGACCGACCGACCGAUGGGGGAGACAGACAGAUAGACAGGCGCGAGCGCGGGGACCGGGCAGCGGGGAGCGCGAGCGCGGGACGAGCGCGGGUUCAAUGAGCGGAACAAAGCAAUCAUGGCGGAGCAGGCACACCGGGCUGCGCGCCCCGAGGACUCGGCGACCGCCCCGCGCCCUGGCCGACUCAUGAGACUAUUGCCCUCCUGAAAACAUCCAACUGCCACUCCAGAAUGGGACAAGAAAGGAUCUACCCGUCUGGGCUUUUUCUGGGAGCAGAAAACCAACUAUAAAUAUGAAACAGACUUCACUGCUAGACCCAAACUUCACAUCUGCCAAGAAACCAAGCUUCUGCCCAAGAGUAUCUGCAAUAUAAGCAGCAGGAUCCAGGGCAUAAGAGGUUUCAGAAGAUACACUAAAGGCCCUCUCUGGAACUAGGUUACUGUUGGAGCAACUCUAGAAAUUUCCAGGCAUGAUCUACUGGAUCUUCCUCACAUUCCCACUGUGGCUGACCACCCUCUGUAGCUGAGAAGAUAACUUUAAAAUGGAAGACAAUGACAGGAUUCCCCAAGGCCUAAGAAGGGAUACGCCCCCGUGAAAACUCAGCAAUAUGGCUGCCUAAACAAGCCUUGUAUACCAACAAUGCUAGUGGACAUACCAGCAAGAGAGGAGCAAAUCUCGUAAGACCUCACCCCAGAUGAAGAGAUACAGGCAAUUGAGGGCUGCUGAGAAAAGGAAAAUCAGUCUUGUCCAAAAAUGAACCUUCUGACAAUUUAUCCAAUCCCAAGAGGCCAUUCCUAAACACACAGAUGCCACCGAAUUUGGGCACAUUUGGGAAAUGAAGAUUGUGAUGCAUCUAACCAGCAUGCUCAGUAUUCGUUCUGCUUCUAGGCACUGCUGUGUUUUUUUGGACUCUUGAAGCAAUUUGUGGCAUCCUUACAAAAGAGAUCCUCAUCCAAAGAUUGAGAAUUUCAUUGGAAAGCUACUGUAGAUUAGGGUGAUACCUGCAAGGUGAUGGGAGAGUAAAAGACAAAGUAUCUUGUUGACAAAUAUGUUGAAAAUGAUGGGCCAAUAUGUGGGAUUUGCAUCCUUUCACCUUCAAACUGAGAAAAUCUUUCUACCAUCUUCAAACUGAAAUGAUGAAGUGAAUGUAAGCUUUUGGGACCCAGCUUUCUCCUGGCUCUCUCUUGGGAGCCUAGAACUGAUUCAUUUGAUGUCUGGCUACCCUCCACCAUUGACAGCACACAGAGGCCAGUGAUGCAGAGGAGCUACCCUGUGUUCAGACCCUGAAUAUCACAAAGUAGAUGGACAUCACCCCACUAUGCCCUGAUCACGGGUACAGAGACUCCACGACGAAGCACAUGGACACUUUAUGCACCUACAUUUGAGGAGAUUUGUUAUUCAGAAGUAGCAAUUGUGGCACCCAAUUUGGGGCAUUAGAAAUCAUGUCUGAAUAAGGUAAAGUAUAUCCCUGCUCUUACACAUUUUAUACACUAUGGUUAUAAAACAGAAAAUAUAGAAACUUUCAUCUUAUUAAUUAAAGUAUUCUAUUUUUGAAAACAUCAUUAUUUCAGCAAAACUGACAUAAUAUAAAUUGCACAUAUUUAAAAUGUACAGUUUGAUGAGUUCUGGCAUAUGAGGGUUCAUAUGGAGCCAUCACCACAGAUAAGCCAAUGAACAUACCUAUCACCCCAAAGUUUCCUGCACAGUCCUUCAUUCCUGCCCAGGUUCCCCCUGCUCUGCUUUGUAAUUUCAUAUUCAUUUGCAGUUUUAGAAAUUUUACAUAAAAGGACCAUAUAGCUUGCCCUCUUUUGUUGUUCAGUUUCUUUUACUAGGGAGAGUUAUCUGUGAUUCAUUUAUCUGUUGCACAAAUCAAUAACUGCUUCGUUUUUAUUACUGAGGACUCAUCAUUUGGGCAUGUUAUGGUUUAUUUAUGUAUUAGGAAUUGUUUCCAGUUUGGGUAUAUCACAAAUGCAACUGUUGAUAUGCACACAUGGUCAAAUAUUUGAAUAGAAAUGCAUUUUCCUUCUCUGUAGAAAAUAUUUUGGUGUGGGUUGCCUUCUAGUCUGUAGCCUAAGUACACUGGCCAGAGAAUAAUGUGGGACAUUCUCAAGGUGGUUUGUUUGCUACUUUUCAUUCAGUUAUUACUCUAUUUUAUUGCCUAAUAUCCAAUGCCUUGAAACUAAGUUCUUACCUAUAGAUGUAGUAAUAUAAUUAAUAUGCAUGCCUAUGAUCAUAUGGAUAUAUACAUAUAUAAUCAUGUGCUACUUUUGUUUUCCAUUGUUUUGGGAAGGAAAGUAAAUACGGUCCCCCUUACCUCAUAUUGAUACUGACUCAUUCUUUUCAUUCAUGCUUGGUUACAGCUGUAUUAAAAGGUAAA